GGCAUGGUACGUAGUACUAGUUCUACUGGUCCAUGUUUACCAGGAGUACAUAUAUAAACUCAUCCCGCUAGAGUUUUGCUUUUUCACGUUCCUCCUUGCAUGUCCGGGGUGCAACCGCGCAAGGCUAGCUAGCCAUGUUUUGGAAGAAUCAAGUGAGCCAUAUAUGUGUGGAAGCAUUCGAAGAAAAUUGUCCAUGUGAGCCCAUGAACGGAGAGCCCAAGCUAUCUCCUUGACGGCCCUCGAAGAAGUGGAAAUCAGAAGCUUCAAAGGAGACGGCCAAUGAGUUUGUUUUCUGGAAAGCAUUGUAUCGGUGUUGUUUUUGCAGCUUGUAUAUGUAUGUGUGUGCGACACACAAAUGAGAAAAAACAAGAAAAUGUGUGUGUGUAACACACAAAUAAGAGAGAAUGCAAAAAGAAAAAAAAAUGUGUGUGUGCGACACACAAGUAAGAGAGAAAACCUAAGAGGAAAAAUGUGUGUUUCCUUGCACACACAAAUAAGAGAGAAAAACUAAGAGAAAAAAUGUGUCUUUCCUAUCCUUAUUGCUACAACGUCUGUAAUAUACCUGAGUUGGUAGGCUACAUCACUUAAAAACUUCAGACACAACAGCAUUGGCACUUUAGAAACAGAAUCGGCCUAUUCGUGUCUUUCCAUGCUGCCAAAAAUAUAUCUAAUAAACGCUUGCAUAA
Molecule: long non-coding RNA, 686 nt
Organism: Brachypodium distachyon (stiff brome)
Lineage: Eukaryota; Viridiplantae; Streptophyta; Magnoliopsida; Poales; Poaceae
Exons: 2
Source: RefSeq, a predicted model, not a curated record